This 344-nucleotide unclassified non-coding RNA is filed under the name soil metagenome. RNAcentral's name for it is "partial contains 5.8S ribosomal RNA, internal transcribed spacer 2, and large subunit ribosomal RNA". The stretch from base 1 to 120 matches the Rfam family "5.8S ribosomal RNA", at positions 35 to 154 of the family's 154-position model. The record is from RNAcentral.
GAUGAAGAACGCAGUGAAAUGCGAUAAGUAAUGUGAAUUGCAGAAUUCAGUGAAUCAUCGAAUCUUUGAACGCACAUUGCGCCCGCUAGUAUUCUGGCGGGCAUGCCUGUCCGAGCGUCAUUUCAACCCUCAAGCCCCCGGGCUUGGUGUUGGGGAUCGGCGAGCCUCCGCGCCCGCCGUCCCCUAAAUCUAGUGGCGGUCUCGCUGUAGCUUCCUCUGCGUAGUAGCUAACACCUCGCAACUGGAACGCGGCGCGGCCAUGCCGUAAAACCCCAACUUCUGAAUGUUGACCUCGGAUCAGGUAGGAAUACCCGCUGAACUUAAGCAUAUCAAUAAGCGGAGGA